GAACGGUAACAGGAAGAAGCUUGCUUCUUUGCUGACGAGUGGCGGACGGGUGAGUAAUGUCUGGGAAACUGCCUGAUGGAGGGGGAUAACUACUGGAAACGGUAGCUAAUACCGCAUAACGUCGCAAGACCAAAGAGGGGGACCUUCGGGCCUCUUGCCAUCGGAUGUGCCCAGAUGGGAUUAGCUGUUGGUGGGGUAACGGCUCACCAGGCGACGAUCCCUAGCUGGUCUGAGAGGAUGACCAGCCACACUGGAACUGAGACACGGUCCAGACUCCUACGGGAGGCAGCAGUGGGGAAUAUUGCACAAUGGGCGCAAGCCUGAUGCAGCCAUGCCGCGUGUAUGAAGAAGGCCUUCGGGUUGUAAAGUACUUUCAGCGGGGAGGAAGGGAGUAAAGUUAAUACCUUUGCUCAUUGACGUUACCCGCAGAAGAAGCACCGGCUAACUCCGUGCCAGCAGCCGCGGUAAUACGGAGGGUGCAAGCGUUAAUCGGAAUUACUGGGCGUAAAGCGCACGCAGGCGGUUUGUUAAGUCAGAUGUGAAAUCCCCGGGCUCAACCUGGGAACUGCAUCUGAUACUGGCAAGCUUGAGUCUCGUAGAGGGGGGUAGAAUUCCAGGUGUACGCGGUGAAAUGCGUAGAGAUCUGGAGGAAUACCCGGUGGCGAAGGCGGCCCCCUGGACGAAGA
This 686-nucleotide ribosomal RNA is filed under the name Escherichia sp. RNAcentral's name for it is "bacterial SSU rRNA". It matches the Rfam family "Bacterial small subunit ribosomal RNA", at positions 64 to 739 of the family's 1533-position model. Lineage: Bacteria; Pseudomonadati; Pseudomonadota; Gammaproteobacteria; Enterobacterales; Enterobacteriaceae. The record is from RNAcentral.